GGUGCUUGCAUCAUGAUUUACAUUUGAGUGAGUGGCGAACUGGUGAGUAACACGUGGGAAACCUGCCCAGAAGCGGGGGAUAACACCUGGAAACAGAUGCUAAUACCGCAUAACAACUUGGACCGCAUGGUCCGAGNUUGAAAGAUGGCUUCGGCUAUCACUUUUGGAUGGUCCCGCGGCGUAUUAGCUAGAUGGUGGGGUAACGGCUCACCAUGGCAAUGAUACGUAGCCGACCUGAGAGGGUAAUCGGCCACAUUGGGACUGAGACACGGCCCAAACUCCUACGGGAGGCAGCAGUAGGGAAUCUUCCACAAUGGACGAAAGUCUGAUGGAGCAACGCCGCGUGAGUGAAGAAGGGUUUCGGCUCGUAAAACUCUGUUGUUAAAGAAGAACAUAUCUGAGAGUAACUGUUCAGGUAUUGACGGUAUUUAACCAGAAAGCCACGGCUAACUACGUGCCAGCAGCCGCGGUAAUACGUAGGUGGCAAGCGUUGUCCGGAUUUAUUGGGCGUAAAGCGAGCGCAGGCGGUUUUUUAAGUCUGAUGUGAAAGCCUUCGGCUCAACCGAAGAAGUGCAUCGGAAACUGGGAAACUUGAGUGCAGAAGAGGACAGUGGAACUCCAUGUGUAGCGGUGAAAUGCGUAGAUAUAUGGAAGAACACCAGUGGCGAAGGCGGCUGUCUGGUCUGUAACUGACGCUGAGGCUCGAAAGUAUGGGUAGCAAACAGGAUUAGAUACCCUGGUAGUCCAUACCGUAAACGAUGAAUGCUAAGUGUUGGAGGGUUUCCGCCCUUCAGUGCUGCAGCUAACGCAUUAAGCAUUCCGCCUGGGGAGUACGGCCGCAAGGCUGAAACUCAAAGGA
Molecule: ribosomal RNA, 859 nt
Filed under: Lactiplantibacillus plantarum
Lineage: Bacteria; Bacillati; Bacillota; Bacilli; Lactobacillales; Lactobacillaceae
Description: bacterial SSU rRNA
Rfam family: Bacterial small subunit ribosomal RNA
Source: RNAcentral